This 396-nucleotide ribosomal RNA is filed under the name uncultured bacterium. Its description in RNAcentral is "partial 16S ribosomal RNA". It matches the Rfam family "Bacterial small subunit ribosomal RNA", at positions 338 to 731 of the family's 1533-position model. The record is from RNAcentral.
CCUACGGGUGGCAGCAGUGAGGAAUAUUGGUCAAUGGGCGCGAGCCUGAACCAGCCAAGUCGCGUGAAGGAUGACUGCCCUACGGGUUGUAAACCUCUUUUAUCAAGGAACAAAGCGAGCCACGUGUGCCUUUUUGUAUGUACCCUAAGAAUAAGGAUCGGCUAACUCCGUGCCAGCAGCCGCGGUAAUACGGAGGAUUCGAGCGUUGUCCGGGUUUAUUGGGUUUAAAGGGUGCGUAGGUGGGUUGUCAAGUCAGGUGGUAAAGUUCGGGGCUCAACCGUAGAAUGGCAGUUGAUACUGGCAUGCUUGAGUGCGGGUGAAGUAGGCGGAAUGCGUGGUGUAGCGGUGAAAUGCAUAGAUAUCACGAAGAACUCCGAUUGCGAAGGCAGCAUACUG